This 473-nucleotide long non-coding RNA is filed under the name Cavia porcellus (domestic guinea pig). RNAcentral's name for it is "lncRNA (ENSCPOG00000035855.1)". The record is from RNAcentral. Lineage: Eukaryota; Metazoa; Chordata; Mammalia; Rodentia; Caviidae.
UGCCGGGAAGACCCAAGGGUCAGCGGUGGAAGCCAGAAAGUCUGUGCCAGCAGGAUGAAGGAGCUGUGCUGGUGGGAUGAGGGUUCUACGCUGGAGCCGAGAAGUCACACUCACAACAAAGACCAGGACUGUCCUGAAAGGCACCACAGCUGUCCUCAGCGACACGGAGGCCCCAAACUCCUCCCACGACAAGCACAGUCAGCCUAAGCACAGGAUUUCAACCUGCGAUAAGGAUUAAAGAAGCAAUAAAACCGAUCACACAGCACGUGGCGGUCAUGUCCCUCCUUUCCUCACGUGGCUUUUCUCAUAUGAGUGAAGCCUGUGUGACUUGAGGGACCGAUACUGAACUGUGUCCUCCACUCCAGAUCUAAAGUCAUUGCUAGUGUUUGGGCAUCCCUGAGAAUUCACAUGCUGCCAGUAUGAUCUCCAAAAUGACAACAGUAGUGCCUCAAGGUAUGACCUUUGAAAGGUGG